GAUUAACGCUAGCGGCAGGCAUAAUACAUGCAAGUUGAACGGCAGCACAGGUAGCAAUACUGGGUGGCGAGUGGCGCACGGGUGCGUAACACGUAUGCAACCUACCCUAUACAGGCGAAUAACCUUUAGAAAUGAGGGCUAAUACGCCGUAGUAUUACAGAUGGGCAUCUAUUUGUAAUUAAAGAUUUAUCGGUAUAGGAUGGGCAUGCGUCCCAUUAGUUAGUUGGUAAGGUAACGGCUUACCGAGACGAUGAUGGGUAGGGGAUCUGAGAGGACUUACCCCCACACUGGUACUGAGACACGGACCAGACUCCUACGGGAGGCAGCAGUAAGGAAUAUUGGGCAAUGGCCGCGAGGCUGACCCAGCCAUGCCGCGUGCAGGAAGACGGCCUUAUGGGUUGUAAACUGCUUUUAUACGGGAAUAAUAGAGUGUACGCGUACAUUUAUGCAAGUAUCGUAUGAAUAAGCAUCGGCUAACUCCGUG
This 484-nucleotide ribosomal RNA is filed under the name uncultured bacterium. RNAcentral describes it as "partial 16S ribosomal RNA". It matches the Rfam family "Bacterial small subunit ribosomal RNA", at positions 28 to 507 of the family's 1533-position model. The record is from RNAcentral.